Molecule: long non-coding RNA, 612 nt
Filed under: Nicotiana benthamiana
Lineage: Eukaryota; Viridiplantae; Streptophyta; Magnoliopsida; Solanales; Solanaceae
Description: long non-coding RNA (NBEN_LNC014614)
Source: RNAcentral
AAUUCCUAAUCUCGAACCUCAGCCCCAACUCAUAACAAAAAUGAAAUUUCUGAAUUUAAAAGGUGAUACGAAUAGAGUUUCUAACAUUAAACGAAACAAUUUUUGUAUUUUUAUUUGUCACUGGAAUUCAACAAAGAAAAUGCAUAUGAAUUAAAAGAGAAUAAGAGAAGCUUUUCAGAACCCUCCCCAUUUUCUCCUCAAAACCAGACAUGGUUUUAUAUAGCCCCCUUCCUCGAAUUUUCCUUUUUCGCAAGAAAUAUGGAAGCAAAUCUCUUCUAGAAUGAACCCUGACAGAUGGAAGGAGAGGAUUGAUCCUCAAAUCAAUCCACGGCUCCCAUUUUCGGAGUUCAUUCUUUAGAAAUUCCAAAACAAAUCAGGUACAUAAAAGAUGCAACAAAAUGUCAAAGGCUGUUAGAAUCUUGCUGAGGUAGUGAGAUAAGGUGCACAUGAGUUAAUUCGAUCUAACUCGCUCAAAAUUUCGCGAGUUUGGACGCAGCUUUACAGUGAAGAAGAGACUGAACAGUCGCUUUAGGAUUAGGUCUUCGCAUUUGUGUAUGUAUCUGUGUGUUUUGCGAGUUUGGACGCAGCUUUGCAGUGAAGAAGAGAGUGAAC